Molecule: non-coding RNA, 212 nt
Organism: Oryzias latipes (Japanese medaka)
Lineage: Eukaryota; Metazoa; Chordata; Actinopteri; Beloniformes; Adrianichthyidae
Source: RefSeq, a predicted model, not a curated record
AAGCCAUCACUGGGAUCUACACCAUACCCGCCUGGCACCUUGAAAGGCUACCUACAGCAGCAAAAAGUCGUGCCCCCCGGGAUCUCCGGAUGUGCAGUGUGGUUCCCCCUGAAGCAUAGCCAUGCUAGUGGAGGAGGAAAUUAGCAUGAUCAACGGGCAUGCAGAGGUCGAACCUGACCUGCACAAAACCCACUCUGAUUCCUCCUCUACCA